CCUACGUGAGGCAGCAGUGGGGGAUAUUGCACAAUGGGGGAAACCCUGAUGCAGCGACGCCGCGUGUGGGAAGACGGUCCUCUGGAUUGUAAACCACUGUCCCCAGGGACGAAGAUGACGGUACCUGGGGAGGAAGCUCAGGCUAACUACGUGCCAGAAUCCGCGGUAAUACGUAGGGAGCGAGCGUUGUCCGGAAUUACUGGGUGUAAAGGGAGCGUAGGCGGGACUGCAAGUUGGGUGUCAAAUCUACCGGCUCAACCGGUAGCCGCACUCAAAACUGCAGUUCUUGAGUGAAGUAGAGGCAGGCGGAAUUCCGAGUGUAGCGGUGAAAUGCGUAGAUAUUAGGAGGAACACCAGUGGCGAAGGCGGCCUGCUGGGCUUUUACUGACGCUGAGGCUCGAAAGUGUGGGGAGCAAACAGGAUUAGAUACCCGUGUAGUC
Molecule: ribosomal RNA, 440 nt
Filed under: uncultured bacterium
Lineage: Bacteria
Description: partial 16S ribosomal RNA
Rfam family: Bacterial small subunit ribosomal RNA
Source: RNAcentral